GUUGGUGAGGUAACGGCUCUACCAAGGCAACGAUCAGUAGCCGGCUUGAGAGAGUGAACGGCCACAUUGGGACUGAGACACGGCCCAAACUCCUACGGGAGGCAGCAGUGGGGAAUAUUGCACAAUGGGGGAAACCCUGAUGCAGCGACGCCGCGUGAGUGAAGAAGUAUUUCGGUAUGUAAAGCUCUAUCAGCAGGGAAGAAAAUGACGGUACCUGACUAAGAAGCCCCGGCUAACUAC
This 240-nucleotide ribosomal RNA is filed under the name uncultured bacterium. RNAcentral describes it as "partial 16S ribosomal RNA". It matches the Rfam family "Bacterial small subunit ribosomal RNA", at positions 248 to 504 of the family's 1533-position model. The record is from RNAcentral.